Molecule: ribosomal RNA, 502 nt
Filed under: uncultured bacterium
Lineage: Bacteria
Description: partial 16S ribosomal RNA
Rfam family: Bacterial small subunit ribosomal RNA
Source: RNAcentral
GAUGAACGCUAGCGGCAGGCCUAACACAUGCAAGUCGAGGGGCAGCACAGAAACAGCAAUGUUUUGGUGGCGACCGGCGGACGGGUGCGUAACGCGUAUGCAACCUACCUUUAACAGGGGGAUAACGGAGAGAAAUUUCCACUAAUACCCCAUAACAUCGAUCAAGGCAUCUUGAUUGGUUGAAAACUCCGGUGGUUAAAGAUGGGCAUGCGUUGUAUUAGGUAGUUGGUGAGGUAAUGGCUCACCAAGCCUACGAUACAUAGGGGGACUGAAAGGUUAGCCCCCCAAACUGGUACUGGGACACGGACCAGACUCCUACGGGAGGCAGCAGUGAGGAAUAUUGGUCAAUGGGGGCAACCCUGAACCAGCCAUGCCGCGUGCAGGAAGACGGCUCUAUGAGUUGUAAACUGCUUUUAAACAGGGAUAAAGCACAGUAUGUAUACUGUGUUGAAGGUACUGUAAGAAUAAGGAUCGGCUAACUCCGUGCCAGCCGCCGCCGUAA